AACGAACGCUGGCGGCGCGCCUAAUACAUGCAAGUCGAGCGAGAAGACGUAGCAAUACGUUUGUAAAGCGGCGAACGGGUGAGGAAUACAUGGGUAACCUACCCUCGAGUGGGGAAUAACUAGCCGAAAGGUUAGCUAAUACCGCGUACGCUCCUUGGACUUCGGUUCAGGGAGGAAAGCGAUACCGUGGGUAUCGCGCUCUUGGAUGGGCUCAUGUCCUAUCAGCUUGUUGGUGAGGUAACGGCUCACCAAGGCUUCGACGGGUAGCUGGUCUGAGAGGACGAUCAGCCACACUGGCACUGCGACACGGGCCAGACUCC
RNAcentral lists this ribosomal RNA (320 nucleotides) under uncultured bacterium. Its description in RNAcentral is "bacterial SSU rRNA". It matches the Rfam family "Bacterial small subunit ribosomal RNA", at positions 29 to 339 of the family's 1533-position model. The record is from RNAcentral.